RNAcentral lists this ribosomal RNA (400 nucleotides) under uncultured bacterium. Its description in RNAcentral is "bacterial SSU rRNA". It matches the Rfam family "Bacterial small subunit ribosomal RNA", at positions 355 to 772 of the family's 1533-position model. The record is from RNAcentral.
UAAGGAAUAUUGGACAAUGGGCGCAAGCCUGAUCCAGCCAUGCCGCGUGAAUGAAGAAGGCCUUAGGGUUGUAAAGUUCUUUCGUCUGCAAGGAUAAUGACAGUAGCAGAAGAAGAAGCUCCGGCUAAAUUCGUGCCAGCAGCCGCGGUAAUACGAAUGGAGCAAGCGUUGUUCGGAAUCACUGGGCGUAAAGCGUGCGUAGGCGGUUUUAUAAGUCAGGAGUGAAAGCCUGGGGCUUAACCCCAGAAUUGCUUUUGAAACUAUAUAACUCGAGUCCCGGAGAGGUUGGCGGAAUUCCUAGUGUAGAGGUGAAAUUCGCAGAUAUUAGGAGGAACACCAGUGGCGUAGGCGGCCAACUGGACGGGUACUGACGCUGAGGCACGAAAGCGUGGGGAGCAAA